This 513-nucleotide ribosomal RNA is filed under the name uncultured bacterium. RNAcentral's name for it is "partial 16S ribosomal RNA". It matches the Rfam family "Bacterial small subunit ribosomal RNA", at positions 28 to 523 of the family's 1533-position model. The record is from RNAcentral.
GACGAACGCUGACGGCAUGCCUAAUACAUGCAAGUCGAGCGAACAGAUGAAGUGCUUGCACUUCUGACGUUAGCGGCGAACGGGUGAGUAACACGUAAGGAAUCUACCUAUAAGCGGGGGAUAACAUUCUGAAACGGGUGCUAAUACCGCAUAAUAUCUUCUUCCGCAUGGAAGAAGAUUGAAAGACGGCUCUGCUGUCACUUAUAGAUGACCUUGCGGUGCAUUAGUUAGUUGGUGGGGUAACGGCCUACCAAGACGAUGAUGCAUAGCCGACCUGAGAGGGUGAUCGGCCACAUGGGGACUGAGACACGGCCCAAACUCCUACGGGAGGCAGCAGUAGGGAAUCUUCCGCAAUGGGCGAAAGCCUGACGGAGCAAUGCCGCGUGAGUGAAGAAGGCCUUCGGGUCGUAAAACUCUGUUAUAAGAGAAGAACAAAUUGUAGAGUAACUGCUACAGUCUUGACGGUAUCUUAUCAGAAAGCCACGGCUAACUACGUGCCAGCCGCCGCCGUAA